This 405-nucleotide ribosomal RNA is filed under the name uncultured Candidatus Nitrosopumilus sp. RNAcentral's name for it is "bacterial SSU rRNA". It matches the Rfam family "Archaeal small subunit ribosomal RNA", at positions 422 to 826 of the family's 1478-position model. The record is from RNAcentral. Lineage: Archaea; Thermoproteati; Nitrososphaerota; Nitrososphaeria; Nitrosopumilales; Nitrosopumilaceae.
GAACCACUAACGAAUAAGGGGUGGGCAAGUUCUGGUGUCAGCCGCCGCGGUAAAACCAGCACCUCAAGUGGUCAGGAUGAUUAUUGGGCCUAAAGCAUCCGUAGCCGGCUCUGUAAGUUUUCGGUUAAAUCUGUACGCUCAACGUACAGGCUGCCGGGAAUACUGCAGAGCUAGGGAGUGGGAGAGGUAGACGGUACUCGGAAGGAAGGGGUAAAAUCCUUUGAUCUUUUGAUGACCACCUGUGGCGAAGGCGGUCUACCAGAACACGUCCGACGGUGAGGGAUGAAAGCUGGGGGAGCAAACCGGAUUAGAUACCCGGGUAGUCCCAGCUGUAAACUAUGCAAACUCAGUGAUGCAUUGACUUGUGGUCAAUGCAGUGCUGCAGGGAAGCCGUUAAGUUUGCCG